RNAcentral lists this unclassified non-coding RNA (312 nucleotides) under plant metagenome. RNAcentral describes it as "partial contains 5.8S ribosomal RNA, internal transcribed spacer 2, and large subunit ribosomal RNA". The stretch from base 1 to 105 matches the Rfam family "5.8S ribosomal RNA", at positions 50 to 154 of the family's 154-position model. The record is from RNAcentral.
GAAAUGCGAUAAGUAAUGUGAAUUGCAGAAUUCCGUGAAUCAUCGAAUCUUUGAACGCAGAUUGCGCCCUCUGGCAUUCCGGGGGGCAUGCCUGUCCGAGCGUCAUUACGCACCCUCAAGCCCGGCUUGUGUGAUGGGCCCCGGCGUCUCGUUCGCGAGACGGGCCCGAAAGGCAGCGGCGGCGUCGACCCGAUGAGCCCGAGCGUAUGGGGACUUCUGUCACACGUUCGCGGUGCGGACCGGCGCCUGCUUGACUUUUCUGAUUAUCCAGGUUGACCUCGGAUCAGGUAGGGAUACCCGCUGAACUUAAGC